This 253-nucleotide ribosomal RNA is filed under the name uncultured bacterium. Its description in RNAcentral is "partial 16S ribosomal RNA". It matches the Rfam family "Bacterial small subunit ribosomal RNA", at positions 524 to 776 of the family's 1533-position model. The record is from RNAcentral.
UACGUAGGCAGCGAGCGUUGUUCGGAAUUACUGGGCGUAAAGAGUGUGUAGGCGGUGCUCCCAGUCUGUUGUGAAAUCUCCCGGCUUAACUGGGAGGGUGCAGCGGAAACUAGAGUGCUAGAGGGUGGGAGAGGUAAGCGGAAUUCCUGGUGUAGCGGUGAAAUGCGUAGAUAUCAGGAGGAACACCUGUGGUGUAGACAGCUUACUGGACCACUCCUGACGCUGAGACACGAAAGCGUGGGUAGCAAACAGG